UUACCUCGUCUUCUGGUUUUUCUGCCAAGCUAGCUCCCUCCUCAGCGCUGUGCUGGGAGCGCAAUGCAGACGGGUUUUUACGCCGAAUGGACCCACGGGAUGAAUCCGUAAUGCUCUGGAUCUAUUGUAAUAAAAAAAACAGGAAGGGCAGAAGCAUCAACAUGCCUCCGUCAUGGACAAUCCACCACACAUCUAUGUGGCCUUCAGUGAAGCGCUCUCCAUUGGACGGGUAGCUGGAGAUAUUCUUAGGAACCAACAAGGCCAUACUGGCUACAGUCGUCUCUCUAACCACCUCUGCACAGGGACGCAAGAAUGAAACAAACAUUUCUGGCUGUUUCCAGUUUCGGGGCCAGCUGACCAUCACAGUGUUGUGCUUCAGACCUCCCAGCCCUCCGACCUGGAUCAGGUGGGAGGUCCCAUCCCUCAGAUUGGAGGAGAUGACCACCUGAGAGAAGCCCUUCACUUUCUCUGCCUCCAUCAACUUACGCAAAGACUAUAAAUACACAAAGAGCGGAAUACAGCUGUUAGAGUGUGUGAAAAACUGUAGACACAGAAGGUUUUGUGAUAUAAUAAUCUGCUGCAUUUGUAUCACAAGUCAAAGUGUAUAGAGAUUAGAGGACGGACCUGAUCUGCCCUCUGGGCCUCAGUGUAGUUGUCGAGGAAGGUUCCGUGAACUGAGGUGCCAACGAUGGUCAGACCUUUCCCUGCUUUCAGCUGAUUGGUCAGAGAGAGCAGACGAGGCUGCUCUACGUUCUGCUCAGCAUCCACACUCACCAGAACCAGGAUCUGAGGCCUGACGAAAAGCACCAAAGGAUUGUGUUUUAGAUUCAACAGGUGAUGUAAGCUUAACCUGUUUAAAUAGUUUAAAAGUUGUAGAUGUGUACUGACCUCCAGUUCUUGGUGUGUGGCGGUCCUUCCUCCAGCCUCAUGAGAGCGAAGCGUGCAGCGCUGAGAGAGAUGCCACGUAUCCCAUCGCCCCACUCCUUCUCAGCUCUGUGACGUACCACAUUAUUGGAUUGGCACAUUGCGUAGGUAUCAUGAUUUAAGUACAUGCUCACUAGCAUUUAUGAUAAAUUAAAGCAAGCCCAAUCCCUGCCAUUCAGCUAAAACAAUAACCACUGGCAGAAUAAUUGGAUGUGGGUUGCUGCAACACAAUCUUAUUCUUGUUUUCGGUCCAUGUCCUACGCAGUCAUGAUGAAUACUUACCCACAAAACUCAAUGUAUUUGUAGAUACAGGUGGCGAUGCCCAUGGCGACUAUGGCGUAAUACCAGGAACAGAUGAACAUGAGCGACAGGCACAGGCUCAUACCCAAGAAAGACAGAGCCCUGCAGGGGACAGGAAGUCACACGCUUGGUCUAAUUGGGAAUUUCCAGGAACACAGCUUAUAUAUCUAUAACCUGUGAAAGUUUAGUCUGCUGCUGCUUAACUCAUACUGAAAAACAGCUUCUAAUUGUGAAUCAGGUGCACACAGCACCAGUUAAUAUUGCCCACGAAUUUGAUCUCACAGGUGCCUGCUGUUCUCAAACAAACCAAUGUUUCUCCUUAACUAAUUACAAAAGUGAUGUGCCAUUAGUUCCGAGCAUGGUUUGAUAGCAUAUGUCGUGAAAAUAAUAACCUUUUAUUGCACAGCAGAUUGCACAUUCAGUGACACUGAUAUGUACAAUGACACAGAAACUCACCAGUGGUAGAACUUAAAGCGUGGCCUCCAGUUCGGCGUCCUGAGCAAAGUCUGCAGCGCACAGGCAAGAUUGACAAACAUGUAGCACAUCAGGAAGAACCUAAAGAGAGAAGUGAGAGAGGAAGAGAAAUAUACAGAAAAGAAAAAAGACAGACAAGUGACACAUAAAGAAGAAUCCCAACUGCUGUGGGCCUGCACAGCAAUGACCAUACACUGUGUGUGAAGUUACAGAGUACGCACAUGGAGAGGAUGGGUGCGACUGCAUCCAGGGAGGCAAUGAUGAUGCCAAUCUCACAGAUGCUGGCUGUGAGCAGAAGGGCCCAGGUGGGCUCCCCAUUGGCUUUGCCGUGCCCAAACACCUGCAGCAACAUCAAAGGAUUAAAUUAAAUCACAUUUUAUGGCACCUUCUUGGGCAGCAAGGGCUAUACUAAUAAUGUAUGAGAUUUUAAUAAUGUGAUAAUCAUAUGUGAAAGCAACAGAAAAAACAAAUGUAAGGCUUUAUCUGAAACACAUUUCUGCUUUUGUGACAAAGACGCAUACUAAAGAUGUGUACUCACUCUAAGAAAUGGGAUGAUGCCAUCUCGAGCAAUGGCCUGUAGGAGACGUGGAGCUCCAGUCAGACUCUGAAGCCCAGCUCCACAAGUGGAAAAGAAGGAGCCAAACACGAUGACCCAUGGAGACGGCCAUGCCAGAGUCCCAAUCACCAGGUUACCAUUGACCCCUUCACCAAACCUGUGGAGAGAGGCGAAGACAAAAUACUCCAAAGCUGGAAUAACAAACACUGACUUUUACACCACUCAUUUCAUCAGAUAAUCUGGAUCUAAUAUGAUUAUAUAACAAUAACAUCUAUUUAAUGUUCUUAAACUUUUAUAUGACCAGACCAUUUGCUAAGCCUCGUCCCUUUUAGGUUACUGCUACUUUAUAAAACAGGGGACAGGUUAACCUUUUUUAAAAACUUUUUAGCUUAGAAAUUUUCAAAAACAAUGGGUCCUUCAUUUCAGACAGAGGUACACAAAAAGCAGGCUUCUCAUUUCUAGCCCGCAACUGUUGACUGAAAUGGCAAUUGUCAGUUGUAGCUUGAAAGCUAGCUAAUUAACUAACAUUAGCUCCACACUCCUACACUUCCUCUGGCUGACCUUGUUCAUUGUUAUAAUGUUUUCAGCUCAUUUUUAAAACAAGAACCCUGUAAAGAGUUCCUACACGUGCACAUUAUGGCCAAAUACAUGAUGUCGUGCUAAAAGACUGAGGCUAAAGCCGCAAGUCCCAGGCAAAAAGUCAGCAGUCACCAGCUGAUGAUCCAUGUGGAUGACAAAUAAACACACUUAUAUUGCAGUGUAGAGCAAGAUAAUCCUAGUAUUAUUAGCAUUACAAGGAAAAAAUAUUAGACUGUUAUUCAUUUUGACUGCUUCGCCUUGACAAGAAAGAAGUUACAUAAAUGUGUUAUUGUUGAACAUAUAUGGAUUAAUAGAGGCUAAAAGAAAGAAACCAGAAUCCAAACUAUCUGAGCAACUUCAUCCCCAUAAACACAGCCUCAACAUGCAGAGAAAGCAAAAACAUUUGACAAGCCUGCAAUGCUUAGUUACUGUUAAGCUAUUACUGGACAAUUGAUGUUUGGAGGAGUGGUUUAGCAAACUGUUGAUUCUUUUGUUUGACAUCAUUUGAUUAUAGUGACUUGAAAUGUAUAAAAAGCUACAUGAUUUGACUUACUUGUCCCUCAGAACUACUCCUUCUAUGCAGGCGCCAAACAGCACCACACAGGACAUGUCUGGGGAAACGCUGUUAGGAAAGGUAUUGUUGGAAAUUUCUGAUACAAAUAUUAUGAGAGCAUACAAAAGGUUAUAUAAAAGUCAUCAAUCAGCACUUCCAGAUCCACACAGUUUCUGUUCAAAGGACCUAGGAUACACACAGUGGAUGUGGUGCUGAUGGCUGCAAUCGUGCCGAUGGGGAUCGACUUCUGAGCGUCACGCAGGUCUCCAGAGCGGUUGGAGCCUGCCAUGAUACCUGUGAGUGGAUCAAGAUGAAAUAAUGAGGAGCUUUGUGCUUUUACACCUGCAUGGGAAAAAAAAGUUGACAUGGCGAACUUCUUAGCAAAUGGUUGCUUAUUUACACAUCCAGUAAAUUAAACUGCAGUAAAGGUGAGAUAAAAGGCCUUGAAAUGCUCAAUAGUGGUGAGGGGAACUGCGGAGUCUGUGAUUAUGCUUUGUAGGUUCAUCACAACCACUAUCACAUUACAAGUAGUCAUUUGAUAUAUUAUUAAUAUGAAAAUAUAGAUCAGAGCACCUAAUAAUAAUUUUGAUAAGGACAGCCUCCCAGCUGGGUGAAGACUUCCUCUUAUCCCUUCUGACGUCUCUUCAAUAGGCCUUUAUGGUUCUAACCUGUGACAGAUGGGAAGUAUAUCCCGACCAGCAGGGUGAAGAAGCUGGUGAUGUCAGCUAGGACGUAGCGGUUGGAGCUGGUUGUGGGAUUGUCUGGAUCUGCGUCUGAUGCUAUCCCACGCUUCUCCAGCAACAUCCCUUUUUCCAGGUAGUUACCAAACAGGUUCUCUAAAAGACAGAAGAGCAUUUAAAUAAGCAUGUGAGGUGGAUGGGAUGCCAAAUGAGUAAAUGGAUUGACCCUCAGAGGGUUUUGUCAUUUACAUUGAUAAGGCAUCUCCUACCUGCCAGGAUGCCGCUAGUGACCCCCGGGAUGCCCUGUAUCUCUGUGACAUUGUUGUUGGUAAAGUAUUCGUCACAAGUGGCAUUAAGGGAGUCAGAAUCACAGAAGGACCUCCACAGUUUGGUGGUGAUGGUUUCAUUGUCUAUUUCGAUGAUUUUUGCACAGAUGUCGUAUGAUUUAGAAAGAAGAGUUCGAUUUCCCAGGAGGCAGACGCUGUAAAGAAAGUCAACAAAGGAAUCAUUGUCAAAAAAUUGGAUCAUCACCGGGAGACUUUGACCAGUGGAUGAACCAGUCACUUACGGGAAGACAGGGGGGUCGAUGGCGGUCUUGAUGACUCCGGCAUAAACAGCCAUGAUAGAGAGGAUGACACAGGCCAGGAAGACCAGCGCCAGCUUGUUCACAUAUUUGACCCCUACAAACACCACCAGUGCCAUUAAGCUCAGUACAAUGGUGCCGUACACCCGCAUGUUGUUGAGGAGAGCUAACUCUGCCUCAGGCCCCUCCAAGCCCUCGAUCUUGAAGAUGGCUGCCUGAGGAACAAUGUAAAUCUACAAGAAUGGAAAGAUGGAGGGAAAAAGGUGGGGAGAAAGGAAGUAGAGGGAGGAGAGUACGGCAAGGUGUGGUGGAGUAUGGUGGUGAUGGGUGGAAGUACAAGGAAUAAAUAUAGUACACUGAUGUUAGAAUGCUACUUAAAUUUGAGCUUAAAUUUUUAUACAUUUGGUUUCCACAGUAAUGAAGAGCUGCCACAGCGAAACAAAAAUUAUGUUCACAAACCCUUGUUAUAAUGUCAUAUAAUAAUUUAAAGAGUCUGUUAAAACUAGAGCUGAAAUAAUUAAUUAAUCUACAGAAAAGUACUUAGCAACGACUUUGAUAAUUGAUUGUUUCAGUAAUUUUUCAAGCAAAAAUGUCACAUCUUCCUGCCUACAGCUUCUCAAAUGUGACGAUUUGAUGCUUUUGUUUGUCAUAUGUGAUAUUAAACUCAAUAUUUUAGGGUU
This is a long non-coding RNA of Micropterus salmoides (largemouth bass), 5329 nucleotides long. RefSeq lists it as uncharacterized. The record is from RefSeq and is a predicted model, not a curated record. NCBI's taxonomy places the organism in Eukaryota, Metazoa, Chordata, Actinopteri, Centrarchiformes, Centrarchidae. The transcript has 3 exons.